Oreochromis aureus is the source of this 251-nucleotide long non-coding RNA. The record is from Ensembl. Lineage: Eukaryota; Metazoa; Chordata; Actinopteri; Cichliformes; Cichlidae.
CGAGUAUCCAGAAAUUGUACCCAACGCAAAAACAAGGCUCAUGUGUUCAUGUGCUGUAUCCUCCGGAUUCCAGCCAGAGUGGAUUCUGGAGUCUUCCACGCUCCUGUCAGUGAUCCUCCAUCUGGAUGGAUGAGAACAACCUUCUGAACAACCUAGCAGGUGGAGAUUGCCCAUAUCUAUGGGACUGAUUUCUGCUAAUAACGCCCAUUGUAUGGACUGAUAACAGUACCCAGCAUACACCUCUCCCUCCA